RNAcentral lists this ribosomal RNA (497 nucleotides) under uncultured bacterium. RNAcentral describes it as "bacterial SSU rRNA". It matches the Rfam family "Bacterial small subunit ribosomal RNA", at positions 28 to 526 of the family's 1533-position model. The record is from RNAcentral.
GACGAACGCUGGCGGCGUGCUUAACACAUGCAAGUCGAACGGAAAGGCCCUUUCGGGGUACUCGAGUGGCGAACGGGUGAGUAACACGUGGGUGAUCUGCCCUGCACUUCGGGAUAAGCUUGGGAAACUGGGUCUAAUACCGGAUAGGACCACAUGCUGCAUGGUGUGUGGUGGAAAGUUUUUAACGGUGUGGGAUGGGCCCGCGGCCUAUCAGCUUGUUGGUGGGGUGAUGGCCUACCAAGGCGACGACGGGUAGCCGGCCUGAGAGGGUGUCCGGCCACACUGGGACUGAGAUACGGCCCAGACUCCUACGGGAGGCAGCAGUGGGGAAUAUUGCACAAUGGGCGCAAGCCUGAUGCAGCGACGCCGCGUGGGGGAUGACGGCCUUCGGGUUGUAAACCUCUUUCACCAUCGGCGAAGCCCCGGGUUUUUGUCUGGGGUGACGGUAGGUGGAGAAGAAGCACCGGCCAACUACGUGCCAGCCGCCGCCGUAAAAC